CCUACGGGUGGCAGCAGUGAGGAAUAUUGGUCAAUGGACGAGAGUCUGAACCAGCCAAGUAGCGUGAAGGAUGACUGCCCUAUGGGUUGUAAACUUCUUUUAUAUGGGAAUAAAAUGUUCCACGUGUGGGAUUUUGUAUGUAACAUAUAAAUAAGGCUCGGCUAACUCCGUGCCAGCAGCCGCGGUAAUACGGAGGAUCCGAGCGUUAUCCGGAUUUAUUGGGUUUAAAGGGAGCGUAGGUGGAUUGUUAAGUCAGUUGGGAAAGUUUGCGGCUCAACCGUAAAAUUGCAGUUGAAACUGGCAGUCUUGAGUACAGUAGAGGUGGGCGGAAUUCGUGGUGUAGCGGUGAAAUGCUUAGAUAUCACGAAGAACUCCGAUUGCGAAGGCAGCUCACUGGACUGCAACUGACACUGAGGCUCGAAAGUGUGGGUAUCAAACAGGAUUAGAUACCCCAGUAGUC
RNAcentral lists this ribosomal RNA (460 nucleotides) under uncultured bacterium. RNAcentral describes it as "partial 16S ribosomal RNA". It matches the Rfam family "Bacterial small subunit ribosomal RNA", at positions 338 to 795 of the family's 1533-position model. The record is from RNAcentral.